UACGUAGGGGGCAAGCGUUGUCCGGAUUUAUUGGGCGUAAAGAGCGUGUAGGCGGCUAGGUAGGUCCGUUGUGAAAACUCGAGGCUCAACCUCGAGACGCCGAUGGAAACCAUCUGGCUAGAGUCCGGAAGAGGAGAGUGGAAUUCCUGGUGUAGCGGUGAAAUGCGCAGAUAUCAGGAGGAACACCGGUGGCGAAGGCGGGUCUCUGGGCCGAUACUGACGCUGAGGAGCGAAAGCGUGGGGAGCGAACAGG
RNAcentral lists this ribosomal RNA (253 nucleotides) under uncultured bacterium. RNAcentral describes it as "partial 16S ribosomal RNA". It matches the Rfam family "Bacterial small subunit ribosomal RNA", at positions 524 to 776 of the family's 1533-position model. The record is from RNAcentral.